UUAUCCGGAUUUAUUGGGUUUAAAGGGAGCGUAGGCGGACGUUUAAGUCAGUUGUGAAAGUUUGCGGCUCAACCGUAAAAUUGCAGUUGAUACUGGGUGUCUUGAGUACAGUAGAGGCAGGCGGAAUUCGUGGUGUAGCGGUGAAAUGCUUAGAUAUCACGAAGAACUCCGAUUGCGAAGGCAGCUUGCUGGACUGUAACUGACGCUAAUGCUCGAAAGUGUGGGUAUCAAACAGGAUUAGAUACCCUGGUAGUCCACACAGUAAACGAUGAAUACUCGCUGUUUGCGAUAUACAGUAAGCGGCCAAGCGAAAGCGUUAAGUAUUCCACCUGGGGAGUACGCCGGCAACGGUGAAACUCAAAGGAAUUGGCGGGGGCCCGCACAAGCGGAGGAACAUGUGGUUUAAUUC
Molecule: ribosomal RNA, 409 nt
Filed under: uncultured bacterium
Lineage: Bacteria
Description: bacterial SSU rRNA
Rfam family: Bacterial small subunit ribosomal RNA
Source: RNAcentral